Molecule: ribosomal RNA, 440 nt
Filed under: uncultured bacterium
Lineage: Bacteria
Description: partial 16S ribosomal RNA
Rfam family: Bacterial small subunit ribosomal RNA
Source: RNAcentral
CCUACGGGUGGCAGCAGUAGGGAAUCUUCCACAAUGGUCGAAAGCCUGAUGGAGCAACGCCGCGUGGAUGAAGAAGGUCUUCGGAUCGUAAACUCCUUUUUUUAGAGAAGAUAAUGACGGUAUCUGACGAAUAAGCACCGGCUAACUCCGUGCCAGCAGCCGCGGUAAUACGGAGGGUGCAAGCGUUACUCGGAAUCACUGGGCGUAAAGAGCGCGUAGGCGGGAUAGCAAGUCAGAUGUGAAAUCCUAUGGCUUAACCAUAGAACUGCAUUUGAAACUGUUAUUCUAGAGUAUGGGAGAGGUAGGUGGAAUUCGUGGUGUAGGGGUAAAAUCCGUAGAGAUCAAGAGGAAUACUGAUUGCGAAGGCGACCUGCUAGAACAUAACUGACGCUGAUGCGCGAAAGCGUGGGGAGCAAACAGGAUUAGAUACCCCGGUAGUC